This is a non-coding RNA of Dipodomys ordii (Ord's kangaroo rat), 65 nucleotides long. NCBI's taxonomy places the organism in Eukaryota, Metazoa, Chordata, Mammalia, Rodentia, Heteromyidae. The record is from Rfam.
GGUGGCUCAGUGGUAGAGUAUUUGCCUUGCAUGCAUAAGGCCCUGGGAUCUAUUCCUCAGCACCA